Molecule: non-coding RNA, 480 nt
Organism: Paramuricea clavata
Lineage: Eukaryota; Metazoa; Cnidaria; Anthozoa; Malacalcyonacea; Plexauridae
Source: the annotation of a GenBank genome assembly
GGAGCCGCAUUGGGGACAUGGGGUAGAAUUUUUUUUUGUACGAUCCCUUUUUUUUGGUGCAAGAUUUUUUUUUGUGGUGCAAGAUUUUUUUUUGUGAUGCAAGAUUUUUUUUUCGGGUGCAAGAUUUUUUUUUUGUGGUGCAAGAUUUUUUUUUCGGGUGCAAGAUUUUUUUUGUGGUGCAAGAUUUUUUUUCGGGUGCAAGAUUUUUUUUUGUGGUGCAAGAUUUUUUUUUCGGGUGCAAGAUAUUUUUUCGGGUGCAAGAUCUUUUUUGUGGUGCAAGAUUUUUUUUCGGGUGCGAGAUUUUUUUUGUGGUGCAAGAUUUUUUUUUCGGGUGCAAGAUUUUGUUUUUCGGGUGCAAGAUUUUUUUGUUCGGGUGCAAGAUUAUUUUUUCGGGUGCAAUAUUUUUUAGUGCCAUAUCACGCGAUUCGAUUGGCAGAUAAAGGUUUACCUAUUAUGUGAGAAUCAUGAGAGUUUUUUGUC